This 399-nucleotide ribosomal RNA is filed under the name uncultured bacterium. Its description in RNAcentral is "bacterial SSU rRNA". It matches the Rfam family "Bacterial small subunit ribosomal RNA", at positions 29 to 408 of the family's 1533-position model. The record is from RNAcentral.
AACGAACGCUGGCGGCGUGCUUAACACAUGCAAGUCGAGCGGGAAAGUUUCCUUCGGGAAGCGAGUACAGCGGCAGACGGGUGAGUACGACGUAGGUAACCUACCCUCGAGACUGGGAUAACCUGUCGAAAGACGGGCUAAUACCGGAUAAGACCACAAGGGCUGCGGCCUUUGAGGUAAAAGAUGGCCUCUGCUUGCAAGCUAUCACUUGGGGGAUGGGCCUGCGCGCCAUUAGCAGUUGGUGAGGUAACGGCUCACCAAGGCUUCGACGGGUAGCUGGUCUGAGAGGACGAUCAGCCACACUGGCACUGCGACACGGGGCCAGACUCCUACGGGAGGCAGCAGUAAGGAAUAUUGCGCAAUGGGCGAAAGCCUGACGCAGCGACGCCGCGUGGGGGA